UACGGAGGGUGCAAGCGUUAAUCGGAAUUACUGGGCGUAAAGCGCACGCAGGCGGUCUGUCAAGUCGGAUGUGAAAUCCCCGGGCUCAACCUGGGAACUGCAUUCGAAACUGGCAGGCUAGAGUCUUGUAGAGGGGGGUAGAAUUCCAGGUGUAGCGGUGAAAUGCGUAGAGAUCUGGAGGAAUACCGGUGGCGAAGGCGGCCCCCUGGACAAAGACUGACGCUCAGGUGCGAAAGCGUGGGGAGCAAACAGGAUUAUAUACCCUGGUAGUCCACGCCGUAAACGAUGUCGAUGUGGAGGUUGUGCCCUUGAGGCGUGGCUUCCGGAGCUAACGCGAUAAAUCGACCGCCUGGGGAGUACGGCCGCAAGGUUAAA
RNAcentral lists this ribosomal RNA (375 nucleotides) under uncultured bacterium. Its description in RNAcentral is "bacterial SSU rRNA". It matches the Rfam family "Bacterial small subunit ribosomal RNA", at positions 524 to 898 of the family's 1533-position model. The record is from RNAcentral.